Molecule: small nuclear RNA, 107 nt
Organism: Pipistrellus kuhlii (Kuhl's pipistrelle)
Lineage: Eukaryota; Metazoa; Chordata; Mammalia; Chiroptera; Vespertilionidae
Source: RefSeq, a predicted model, not a curated record
AUUCUUUCUUCGGCAGCACAUAUACUAAAAUUGGAACGAUACAGAGAAGAGUAGCAUGACCUCUAUGCAAGGAUCACACACAAACUUGUGAAAUGUUAUAUGUUUUU